Non-coding RNA from Mycena maculata, 94 nucleotides. Lineage: Eukaryota; Fungi; Basidiomycota; Agaricomycetes; Agaricales; Mycenaceae. The record is from the annotation of a GenBank genome assembly.
GCCCUCGUAGAUCAGUGGUAGAUCUCCUCCUCAUAAUAAGGAACUAUAUAGAAGCAUUACGGAGGUAACGUGGGUUCGACUCCCCCCGAGGGCA